RNAcentral lists this ribosomal RNA (253 nucleotides) under uncultured bacterium. Its description in RNAcentral is "partial 16S ribosomal RNA". It matches the Rfam family "Bacterial small subunit ribosomal RNA", at positions 524 to 776 of the family's 1533-position model. The record is from RNAcentral.
UACGAAGGGUGCAAGCGUUACUCGGAAUCACUGGGCGUAAAGCGUGCGUAGGCGGUUGGUUAAGUCUGCUGUGAAAGCCCUGGGCUCAACCUGGGAACUGCAGUGGAUACUGGCCAGCUAGAGUGUGAUAGAGGAUGGUGGAAUUCCCGGUGUAGCGGUGAAAUGCGUAGAGAUCGGGAGGAACACCAGUGGCGAAGGCGGCUCACUGGCCCGGUACUGACGCUGAGGUGCGAAAGCGUGGGGAGCAAACAGG